UACGGAGGGUGCAAGCGUUAUCCGGAUUCACUGGGUUUAAAGGGUGUGUAGGCGGAUUCUUAAGUCAGUGGUGAAAUCUCCGGGCUCAACCCGGAAACUGCCAUUGAUACUAUUAGUCUUGAAUUCUGUUGAGGUAGGCGGAAUAUAUCAUGUAGCGGUGAAAUGCUUAGAUAUGAUAUAGAACACCGAUUGCGAAGGCAGCUUACUAAACAGAUAUUGACGCUGAGGCACGAAAGCGUGGGGAUCAAACAGG
Molecule: ribosomal RNA, 253 nt
Filed under: uncultured bacterium
Lineage: Bacteria
Description: partial 16S ribosomal RNA
Rfam family: Bacterial small subunit ribosomal RNA
Source: RNAcentral